Long non-coding RNA from Neltuma alba, 87 nucleotides. RefSeq lists it as uncharacterized. The transcript is spliced from 3 exons. The record is from RefSeq and is a predicted model, not a curated record. NCBI's taxonomy places the organism in Eukaryota, Viridiplantae, Streptophyta, Magnoliopsida, Fabales, Fabaceae.
AAGCGGCUCAGGAAAGAAGGCGUGGGCGGGAAGCUAUCCAAGUGGCAUUGUUCAUAUAAUCGGCGUGCUCUCUGCUCCACCUUCAUU